This is a non-coding RNA of Dipodomys ordii (Ord's kangaroo rat), 70 nucleotides long. The record is from Rfam. Lineage: Eukaryota; Metazoa; Chordata; Mammalia; Rodentia; Heteromyidae.
GGGAAUGUGGCUUAGUGGUAGAGUGCUUGUCUAGCAUGCAUGAAGCCCUGGGUUCCAAUCCUCAGUACCA